CUGUCAAUCAGCCAACAAUUCUUUUCAUAUAAUCUCAUUAUCAGCAGCAACUCUCUCCAUUCUGCACUAAUAACCCACGUGAAAGAGGAACUCCAUUCAUUGCUAUUCUGCCUGCCAAACUUUAGAGUGUAUCUAUCCACUGAUUCAAUAUCAAUAACAGCAGCCACCAACACCAAAUAUUUGCAGGUCAAGCGCGAGAGUAAGAACUACACAAGGAGUUAGAGUACCUUAGCAAAACUUUGCUAUCAGGUUGAGCUGUGAUGGGCGAUGAAGUGUUGUUGCUGAGUAGAGUUUUUGUCGAACUUAAAGUAGGCUCAGAAAGGAUACAUGUCUUCAUACAUGUAUCUCAGUUACGCAUUCCGCUGUAAACACUGAUUAUUUCAGUUACACCUUCCGUUGCAAACUCUGAUAAUGAUUUAGCCAAGCCCCUAACGAUGCCUUUUUCCUUUUAAGGAAUAUUUCACGCGUAUUCAAGCUCUUUGAGUAUUCUUUUAUGCGCCCCUUUCUAAACCCGCUUCGUAAUUUCCCUUCCCCAGUCAUGGUUUUCCCGGAUUAAUUAUCCUUAAUUAAGGCCGGUCGUGACAGAGUGGUAUCAGAGCAGUUCGUUUGCUCUGAGCCUAAGAGUUUAUUUAAGCCAAACUUAGAAUGAAUUACUAAAGUGUCUAGAGUUCCAUUGACAAAACUCAGCACUUCAUCGCAUCACACUCAACGAAGCAGAAUGGUAAGCUCUUCCAAGGUUUGAGUUAAUGUUUACAAAAAGUGAAAAUUAUCGUAAUAGCAAAGUGAGUAACUGUUAAUAACUAUGUUAUGUUGUUAUUGAAUGAAAUGAUUUACGCAAGCGCGAUUAAGUAUGCCUAUGGAAUGAAUCCCUAUGAACAUAGAGCUAUUAAGAUAUGAGAUCACCACUACGACAGAACAUAGAAGCAAACAUAGAAAAAAAAAAUAGAU
Salvia miltiorrhiza (redroot sage) is the source of this 948-nucleotide long non-coding RNA. RefSeq lists it as uncharacterized. The record is from RefSeq and is a predicted model, not a curated record. NCBI's taxonomy places the organism in Eukaryota, Viridiplantae, Streptophyta, Magnoliopsida, Lamiales, Lamiaceae. The transcript has 4 exons.